Molecule: non-coding RNA, 930 nt
Organism: Cicer arietinum (chickpea)
Lineage: Eukaryota; Viridiplantae; Streptophyta; Magnoliopsida; Fabales; Fabaceae
Source: RefSeq, a predicted model, not a curated record
AAGUAGAAAACCUGCGAAACGACGAGCUGUUGGCCUUGAAGAAAAGAGAAACUUUAGGUGACUCGUUGGUUGGCAGAACCACCGAUGGCGGUGAUAGAUGAACCAAAACCAGCGGCGAUGAAAACGGAAAGCUCGCUAUUGUGCAGGGAAUCAGUGGCGGAAGAACAAACGCCCGUGUGGUGAGUGUUGAUGGCGAUGAUCAAAGCAGAAAAGGAAGAAACAGAAAUAAAAGCUCUCAACAAGACAAAGAAUGUAAGAGUGUUGGAUCAGUUAGUGUGCACAAGAAGAAGAGGAAUUAGCGUGAAUACAAUAACAGAGGGAAGUGCUGAUACCAAUUGAUGGAACUCACAUAAUAAACUUUCAUUUUUCUGUUUGAAACUUUCCUUACGAGCAUUGUGAUUAGAACUAAUCACAAUAAUAUAUAGAACGAAUGAUCAAAACAGCAGGGUUGGCUCCUAGACUUCUCCAUUUUGAGUGGUGCAUGCAAGGAUUGUGGAUUUAAAAUUAGCAGCAUCAGUGUUCGGGAUUUUGGUGAAAUUAGCAGCAUGAGUCUAUGGUUGUUCUAUUGGUGGGGGAUGAUAAUAGGUGAGCUGGCUGAAAUGGUGUACAUUUAGACAAAGUGAGGAGAUCACAGUCUUGGUGUUUCUUAUUGUUGUAGUUUUGAUGUAGAUUUUAUGGAUAAAUUUUUAAAGAGGAAAUUACGGUGAAAUGAGCGAGAAUCCCGUUCUCAACAACAAUGAAAUUAAGCAAGAGACUAUUUAGAGAUCAAUAUCCUUAAUUAAGUUUCAAGCUGUAUAUUUUUUUGUAUGCUGUUGCAGUGUAGAAUUGAUUUUCUUUAAAUCUGUUGCUAUCAUUAUUUUAAAGUUUGAGUUUCCGUAACAGUUUUGCCUACAACAAUUGAUACCAACAAUGUCUUGAUCAGUUUCAUCA